GAUGAACGCUGGCGGCGUGCCUAAUACAUGCAAGUCGAGCGAAUGGAUUAAGAGCUUGCUCUUAUGAAGUUAGCGGCGGACGGGUGAGUAACACGUGGGUAACCUGCCCAUAAGACUGGGAUAACUCCGGGAAACCGGGGCUAAUACCGGAUAACAUUUUGAACCGCAUGGUUCGAAAUUGAAAGGCGGCUUCGGCUGUCACUUAUGGAUGGACCCGCGUCGCAUUAGCUAGUUGGUGAGGUAACGGCUCACCAAGGCAACGAUGAGUAGCCGACCUGGGAGGGUGAUCGGCCACACUGGGACUGGGCCACGGCCCAGACUCCUACGGGAGGCAGCAGUAGGGAAUCUUCCGCAAUGGACGAAAGUCUGACGGAGCAACGCCGCGUGAGUGAUGAAGGCUUUCGGGUCGUAAAACUCUGUUGUUAGGGAAGAACAAGUGCUAGUUGAAUAAGCUGGCACCUUGACGGUACCUAACCAGAAAGCCACGGCUAACUACGUGCCAGCCGCCGCGGUAA
This 515-nucleotide ribosomal RNA is filed under the name uncultured bacterium. Its description in RNAcentral is "partial 16S ribosomal RNA". It matches the Rfam family "Bacterial small subunit ribosomal RNA", at positions 28 to 523 of the family's 1533-position model. The record is from RNAcentral.